UAUGUUAUACUGCAUGCUAGAAAGGACAGGAGUGUAUAUAACUAUAAUCUCUCCAGUUCCAGGGAGUGGUUGUCGCUGCGAAUGCAAUAGAGAGAGGGUGAGCUACAGGCGGCCGGUCUAUGGGAAACGUGUCUCCAUCAAGCAGAGGUACACGACAAGGUGCGGUUUCUUGGGCUGGAACAGAUGCACUCGAUACAGGACAAAAUGGACAAGCACCAUAACCGGUUACACCACAGGAUAUCGAGAAGACAAAUGUAGUCCAGGUGAUUGUCCUCUUUGUUACAAUUGGCGUGGACCAGAAGCUUUACCAUAGGAUAUCGACUUAAAGAAUGUAGUCCAGGUGAUUGUCGUCCUUGUCCUCCCGGUUGGCCUGGAGAAGCUGUCAGACCGGGAAUAUCGACGUUCCAUCGUUCGACAAAUUGUAAAGAAAUAAAUAUUACUGCAUUUA
Haliotis rubra (blacklip abalone) is the source of this 448-nucleotide long non-coding RNA. RefSeq lists it as uncharacterized. The transcript is spliced from 3 exons. The record is from RefSeq and is a predicted model, not a curated record. Lineage: Eukaryota; Metazoa; Mollusca; Gastropoda; Lepetellida; Haliotidae.